RNAcentral lists this ribosomal RNA (877 nucleotides) under uncultured Nitrososphaerota archaeon. RNAcentral's name for it is "bacterial SSU rRNA". It matches the Rfam family "Archaeal small subunit ribosomal RNA", at positions 21 to 903 of the family's 1478-position model. The record is from RNAcentral. Lineage: Archaea; Thermoproteati; Nitrososphaerota.
ACCUGACUGCUAUCGGAUUGAUACUAAGCCAUGCGAGUCAUUGUAGCAAUACAAGGCAGACGGCUCAGUAACACGUAGUCAAUCUAACCUAUGGACGGGGAUAACCUCGGGAAACUGAGAAUAAUACCCGAUAGGCCACCAUGCCUGGAAUGGUUUGUGGCCCAAAUGAUUUAUCGCCGUAGGAUGGGACUGCGGUCUAUCAGCUUGUUGGUGAAGUAAUGGCCCACCAAGGCUAUAACAGAUACGGGCUCUGAGAGGAGAGGCCCGGAGAUGGGUACUGAGACACGGACCCAGGCCCUAUGGGGCGCAGCAGGCGAGAAAACUUUGCAAUGUGCGAAAGCACGACAAGGUUAAUCCGAGUGUUUUCUGCUAAAGAAAUCUUUUACCGGUCUUAAAACCACCGGCGAAUAAGGGGUGGGCAAGUUCUGGUGUCAGCCGCCGCGGUAAAACCAGCACCUCAAGUGGUCAGGAGGAUUAUUGGGCCUAAAGCAUCCGUAGCCUGCCGUGUAAGUUUUCGGUUAAAUCUAUGCGCUCAACGCAUAGGCUGCCGGAAAUACUGCACGGCUAGGGAGUGGGAGAGGUAGACGGUACUCAGUAGGAAGGGGUAAAAUCCUUUGAUCUAUUGAUGACCCCCUGUGGCGAAGGCGGUCUACUAGAACACGUCCGACGGUGAGGGAUGAAAGCUGGGGGAGCAAACCGGAUUAGAUACCCGGGUAGUCCCAGCUGUAAACAAUGCAAACUCGGUGAUGCAUUGGCGUAAGAGCCAGUGCAGUGCCGCAGGGAAGCCGUUAAGUUUGCCGCCUGGGAAGUACGUACGCAAGUAUGAAACUUAAAGGAAUUGGCGGGGGAGCACCACAAGGGGUGAAGCCUGCGGUUC